GCCGGGCGUGGUAGCCCACGCCUUUAAUCCCAGCACUGGAGAGGCAGAGGCAGGUGGAUUUCUGAGUUUGAGGCCAGUCUGAUCUACAAAGUGAGGUCCAGGACAGCCAGGGCUAUACAGAGAAACCCUGUCUUGAAAAACCAAAAAAGAAAAAAAACCAGGGAAAAUAUUUUUUGUUUUGUUAUUGUUGUUUUUGAGACAGGGUUUCUCUGUGUAGCCCUGGCUGUCCUGGAACUCACUUUGAGACCAGGCUGGCCUUGAACGCAGAAAUUUGUCUGCCU
This 281-nucleotide long non-coding RNA is filed under the name Mus musculus (house mouse). RNAcentral's name for it is "long non-coding RNA chr11:78185506-78185787". Lineage: Eukaryota; Metazoa; Chordata; Mammalia; Rodentia; Muridae. The record is from RNAcentral.